GAUGAACGCUGGCGGCGUGCUUAACACAUGCAAGUCGAACGGUGAAGCCAAGCUUGCUUGGUGGAUCAGUGGCGAACGGGUGAGUAACACGUGAGCAACCUGCCCUGGACUCUGGGAUAAGCGCUGGAAACGGCGUCUAAUACUGGAUAUGAGCCUCUUCCGCAUGGUGGGGGUUGGAAAGAUUUUUUGGUCUGGGAUGGGCUCGCGGCCUAUCAGCUUGUUGGUGAGGUAAUGGCUCACCAAGGCGUCGACGGGUAGCCGGCCUGAGAGGGUGACCGGCAACCGGGGGAUGGAGAACAGGCCAAGCCUCCGAGGGGGGCCAGCAGUGGGGAAUAUGGCACAAUGGGAGAAGGCGGAAUGCAGCAACGCCGGGGGAGGGAGGCCGGCUUUCGGUUGAAAAACCUCUUUUGGAGGGGAAGAAGCAAAGGUGAGGCUCCCGGCAAAAAAAGCGCCGGCUAACUACGUG
This 466-nucleotide ribosomal RNA is filed under the name uncultured bacterium. RNAcentral's name for it is "partial 16S ribosomal RNA". It matches the Rfam family "Bacterial small subunit ribosomal RNA", at positions 28 to 507 of the family's 1533-position model. The record is from RNAcentral.